This 610-nucleotide unclassified non-coding RNA is filed under the name Hevea brasiliensis (rubber tree). Lineage: Eukaryota; Viridiplantae; Streptophyta; Magnoliopsida; Malpighiales; Euphorbiaceae. The record is from RNAcentral.
CGUUAUUGUACAGGUGGGGGAAAGUGAACCAUUUGUGUCUGAACUUCUGUCAGGCCUUCCAACAACCGUUGCUGAUCUUGAGCCUCAUCAGAUCCAUACAUUUUAUGAAUCUGUAGGGCAUAUGAUUCAAGCGGAACCUGAUCCACAGAAGAGAGAUGAAUACCUGCAGAGAUUGAUGGAUCUUCCAAACCAGAAAUGGGCUGAAAUCAUAGGGCAGGCACGCCAGAGUGUUGAUUUUCUGAAAGAUCAAGAAGUGAUCAGGGCUGUUCUCAACAUAUUGCAGACAAAUACAAGUGUUGCUAGUUCUCUGGGAACAUAUUUCUUGUCCCAAAUCUCUUUAAUCUUCCUGGACAUGCUUAAUGUGUAUAGAAUGUAUAGUGAACUUAUAUCAAGUAGCAUUGCCGAAGGAGGUCCGUAUGCAUCUAAAACAUCCUAUGUGAAGCUUUUAAGAUCGGUUAAGAGAGAGACACUUAAACUCAUUGAGGCAUUUUUGGACAAGGCUGAAGACCAGCCACAGAUUGGGAAGCAAUUUGUGCUCCCAAUGAUGGAUCCCGUUCUUGGCGACUAUGCCAGGAAUUUGCCUGAUGCUAGAGAAUCAGAAGUUCUGUCA